This 572-nucleotide ribosomal RNA is filed under the name Saccharomyces cerevisiae (brewer's yeast). Its description in RNAcentral is "partial large subunit ribosomal RNA". It matches the Rfam family "Eukaryotic large subunit ribosomal RNA", at positions 62 to 648 of the family's 3401-position model. Lineage: Eukaryota; Fungi; Ascomycota; Saccharomycetes; Saccharomycetales; Saccharomycetaceae. The record is from RNAcentral.
AAACCAACCGGGAUUGCCUUAGUAACGGCGAGUGAAGCGGCAAAAGCUCAAAUUUGAAAUCUGGUACCUUCGGUGCCCGAGUUGUAAUUUGGAGAGGGCAACUUUGGGGCCGUUCCUUGUCUAUGUUCCUUGGAACAGGACGUCAUAGAGGGUGAGAAUCCCGUGUGGCGAGGAGUGCGGUUCUUUGUAAAGUGCCUUCGAAGAGUCGAGUUGUUUGGGAAUGCAGCUCUAAGUGGGUGGUAAAUUCCAUCUAAAGCUAAAUAUUGGCGAGAGACCGAUAGCGAACAAGUACAGUGAUGGAAAGAUGAAAAGAACUUUGAAAAGAGAGUGAAAAAGUACGUGAAAUUGUUGAAAGGGAAGGGCAUUUGAUCAAACAUGGUGUUUUGUGCCCUCUGCUCCUUGUGGGUAGGGGAAUCUCGCAUUUCACUGGGCCAGCAUCAGUUUUGGUGGCAGGAUAAAUCCAUAGGAAUGUAGCUUGCCUCGGUAAGUAUUAUAGCCUGUGGGAAUACUGCCAGCUGGGACUGAGGACUGCGACGUAAGUCAAGGAUGCUGGCAUAAUGGUUAUAUGCCGC